CCUACGGGUGGCAGCAGUGAGGAAUAUUGGUCAAUGGGCGCGAGCCUGAACCAGCCAAGUCGCGUGAGGGAAGACGGCCCUACGGGUUGUAAACCUCUUUUGUCGGGGAGCAAUGGACGCCACGAGUGGCGUUCCGGAGAGUACCUGAAGAAAAAGCAUCGGCUAACUCCGUGCCAGCAGCCGCGGUAAUACGGAGGAUGCGAGCGUUAUCCGGUUUUAUUGGGUUUAAAGGGUGCGUAGGCGGAAUAUCAAGUCAGCGGUAAAAAUUCGGGGCUCAACCCCGUCGGGCCGUUGAAACUGGUUGUCGUGAGUGGGCGAGAAGUAUGCGGAAUGCGUGGUGUAGCGGUGAAAUGCAUAGAUAUGACGCAGAACCCCGAUUGCGAAGGCAGCAUACCGGCGCCCAACUGACGCUGAAGCACGAAAGCGCGGGUAUCGAACAGGAUUAGAUACCCCAGUAGUC
RNAcentral lists this ribosomal RNA (460 nucleotides) under uncultured bacterium. RNAcentral's name for it is "partial 16S ribosomal RNA". It matches the Rfam family "Bacterial small subunit ribosomal RNA", at positions 338 to 795 of the family's 1533-position model. The record is from RNAcentral.